GGAUUGUGAAGAGUGACUGAUUAUGUACUUACAUGUAUCAUCCUCCCACUGGGAAGUCAUAGAAGAGACACAAUAAAAGAUGGAUCUCCAUGAAAACUUACUGAGGACCACCAUUUGGUUCCUUGACCAGACUCCUGCCAAGAACUUGCUUGAGUCCAGGAAGAAGGACUCAAACAGACCAGGUUCCUAGCAUGCUGCCCGGCACAUUAAGUAGACUCAGAUAAUCAAUCGACGUGUGCAGCAUUGAAAAGGAAUGCACUGAAG
Suricata suricatta (meerkat) is the source of this 264-nucleotide long non-coding RNA. RefSeq lists it as uncharacterized. The transcript is spliced from 3 exons. The record is from RefSeq and is a predicted model, not a curated record. Lineage: Eukaryota; Metazoa; Chordata; Mammalia; Carnivora; Herpestidae.